RNAcentral lists this transfer RNA (77 nucleotides) under Pseudonocardia sp. RNAcentral's name for it is "tRNA-Thr". It matches the Rfam family "tRNA". Rfam says of the family: Transfer RNA (tRNA) molecules are approximately 80 nucleotides in length. RNAcentral also lists the same sequence under 1 other name. Lineage: Bacteria; Bacillati; Actinomycetota; Actinomycetes; Pseudonocardiales; Pseudonocardiaceae. The record is from RNAcentral.
GCCGCCUUAGCUCAGUUGGUUAGAGCGACGCACUCGUAAUGCGUAGGUCUGGGGUUCGACUCCCCAAGGCGGCUCCA